CGCUCAGCCUGGGGCGUGGGCGUUUGCCCUCCGAAGGCGAAGGCCACACGUUCGAAUCGUGUCGGGUACGCCA
RNAcentral lists this transfer RNA (73 nucleotides) under Bradyrhizobium sp. I71. Its description in RNAcentral is "tRNA-Arg". Lineage: Bacteria; Pseudomonadati; Pseudomonadota; Alphaproteobacteria; Hyphomicrobiales; Nitrobacteraceae. The record is from RNAcentral. RNAcentral also lists the same sequence under 1 other name.